GUCUGGUCAACCUGAUAGAAUUGUCUGCUCAUUCCCAGCGGCAGACACAGUUCCCAUCUGUUCCCAGGUGAAGACAGCGGGACAUGGGUCCUGGCCACCAGAAGACCUAGGAAAAAUUACACACCAAUGUGACCCAUUCACUGACCUGAUAAUGCUCAUCCUAGCAAUGAGAAAAAUAGCAGAGUGGACACUGACACUGGAGAAGUGCCUGAGAUGUUCCAGGUCAGGAACGCAGAGGAGAAGGACGGGAUCUCUACCACAACCAUGUCCAUGUUCAGAUUUAUUCCUACACUGCUUAAGACAAGGACGUGAAGGGCCCAGGAGCCUGAGGCCAGCAGUUCUUCAGUGGGCAUUUUUCCUGGCCCAACCAGUAAACCUCAGUGCCUGGAAAACAGCACAUCUGUGACCCUGUGACCAGCCCAACACAGAGAGUUUAAUAGGUACAGAAAGCCACUUUCCGGCUCCAGAUAAUGCAAUCAGCCAGGUGGGCAUGUGCAGAGUUCGGGGGCUGAGGUAAACUUGAGUGUCAGCUGCCCCCACCUCUGUGUUCUGCAUUGAGAGGGUGGGAGUGCAUGGGAUGCCCUCCACAGCUGUAGGGCAGGAGGAGCAGCCCUCUCCUCCACUCACCGGGUGAGGCCCCCUUCCUAACCAUCCUGCAGCCUAUUCCUAGGCUUUGACAUCUUUCCCUCCCAGGAUGCUUCCUCAUGAUAGCAAAGGACUGCACCCUUUCCCUCACAAACCAACUAAUCAUGUAUUCACCCUUGCAUCCUCAUCUUUGGGGAGCUCUUGCAUUCAGGGGCACUGGGCCUGCACUCAGUGUCCCUGGACCAGGAUGCAGAAAGCCAGAGACAGCCUUCCACCAAGGAGCCCAAGGAAUCCAGAGAGCCAGUCAAUCUCCCAGUGCUAAUCUGCUUCUUGCCUGGCCAUCACCUCCCAUAGCACCUGGGGGAGAGAGGGCUGGGACCCGAGCCCUGCUUCUUUAUCUCACCACUUCCUGGUGCUCCCCUGAGGUCCCUGUGGAGACAGGGCCCUCCCUGCAGGAAGAGUGUGUCGCAGAGUCUGCUCUAGGGCAGUUGACUGCUGGUCUCCCAGUCUCUGAGCAAUAAUGGAACAUAGAUUUUAGAUCACCUUUUGAUUAGAAACCUUGAAGUAGCUGAAAUGGUCCUAUAGUUGUUUACUUACUUUAUAUGAUAUAAAAGAAAGACUUACUGUACUCUGGGGAAGCAGCUACAUAACCGCAGUGAUGAGGGCUGAUGUUUCCUCUGCCUUUGACUCGAGGUCAGGAAUUCAGGCGUGAUGCAUUCAUUGUCCAUCAGACCUGCUGCCAGGGUGCUGACCAGUGAGGCAUCAGCCAGUACCUGCAGCCUUUGGGUGAGCUCCCACCUUCAGAAAAGAAGUUACCUUGGAGACCAGCUUAACAGGAAGGAAUUCCAGAACUAAGGAGGAUCCGUGAUUCUUUCACUUGCCUGAGAGGGAGCUCAGGAGCCUCCAGCUAACAUGGAACAGUGCCUCAAAUAGCUCCAUAGGUUUUUGGGAAACUCCAGAAAGAAUUAUGUGUUCACUGACCUAAUAAUGCUCAUUCUAACAAUGAAAAAAUGUAUCUGUCUCAAGGAAUUUCCAUUAGGGAGCAUGUGGCAUAGGAUACUGUGACAAAUUUAUGUUUCAUUUAAGGAGAAAAUACAUUAUAGUGUUGAUUCAAGAAUGAAGCAUUUCUCUCUGGAUCCAUCGAAGAUCAGUUGGUUCCUGGAAGAUACAACCAAUCCAGCCUAGUUCCUGAAUCUCAGGAUGAGCAUGAGCACAUUUCUUCAGAAACUUCAGCUCCACAAUUCCAUCAGUAAAUGACUUCUGCUUUGCCUGUCAGCCCCAAAAUUACAGGUUUCAGAACAGCUCUUAUUUUUGCAAUGAUUUCCAACAACUAUGCUGUUACUCUAGCUUGUCUUUCUGAGUCAAGUUGAGUUAAAAGAGUAUUUAUCCAAAGCAUCAGUAGAGCAGGAACACAAUGAAAUCAGAGCAAAUGCUUAAAUCCCUGCCCAGUCAUCUCUAGGGUAGCAUUUUAGACUGGAGUUUCUCAGUUGAAGAUUUUGCACAACCUCAGAGAUUUGCUGACCACUUUCUUUCAUAGAGACAGUGCUUGGGUGUCCUCCAGGUGGCUAUGCAUAUAUCGUUGGGCCUGUUCCACACUUGUAUUUUGUUGGGUUUGUUUUCCUACUUCUCAAAGAGGAUCUGAAUAGAAUCCAUCUAAUCAGCAAAGGCAGGAGACCAUUUCAGGUAGGAAAAGGUGAAAAUGGGAUUUUAAAAGAAAAAUUGAAAUGCUCCUUGAAAGCACUGCUUUCUAUAGCCCCAGGGGCAAUGCAAGCUGGAGGAAAUGAUCCCUGCUGCUGUGGGGUGCCCUGCAGAAGCCGCUUCCCUUCGCCUCCUGGCUGCGCCUCUGAUAGAAAAACAGUAUUGAGUCCUGAUGUGGGGUUGGGGGGUGGCUCCUGGGUCCUCAUGGAAACUGAGGCUAUGCAGCUUUCUUUCUGACACUGUGCCCCAUGCUGCAGGUGCCCCAUGCUGGGGGCCAUGAUGAUAGUUGUCAAGGCCUGGGAUUGUCUUGCUCAUCUCUAAGCAGGCAGUGAGGUUCUGGGAGAUGAGCUGUGAUUGGAUGAAGCCCUUCUGUCAGUGCCGUUCCCUUUCCUAAUGAUUGGUCCUGCAGUGACAUGUGACCUGUUGCUUCACAAUGCUGCAUGAGAGAAAGACAGCAGAAGGACCUCCAGAGCAGCUACCCUGUCCCAUGGAUGGAUGUGGGAGGAGAGCACCUCCACAGGAUUCCUUUCCGGGGUCCCUCAUCAUAAUUCCAGGACCUUGCAAUGUCCCAGCAUGGGGGAUGUGGGGGCUCUCAAAGGCAUCUCUUGCUCCUCAUUAAGGAAGACAGACGAGGUGCGUUGUGAGGAAGAGGGCCGUGUGGACUGCCUGGAGCUUCCUAGUUGACGCUGGGAAGAAAGAAACAGAGAGAAGAAAUGCAGCUGGCGCGGGCGGGAGCAGGAGUCCUGAUGUGUGCUCCAGUCCGGAGCCCAUUAAUCUCUUUGUGAAUUAUUUAUAUCUUGGUCUAACUUUGCGGCUCAUUUCAGAUGUUUGCUUAAUUUUCUGGGUGAAGAGAAAAUAAAACACCUCCUGGGAGAAUCGCAGAGUUGGCUCGGAAGUCCUGACUGUCUGUUUAGGGGUCCUCAUUGGCAGUCGGGUGCACAGAUUUAAAUAUUUAUGAAAAUGUUAAUAAAAAAAAUUCUUUGCUUGCUACUCAGAGCAUAUAGUAGGACCAGAGCUGUGGCAUAGAUUUUCCUUUGACUUUAGCCACCUGGAAGCAAUAUUUGAUUUUCUGUUGGCUCCCUGGACCAAGAGGCACAAUUCAGGGCAGGAACAGUAAUUGCUUUCUUGACUCUAGUCUU
Molecule: long non-coding RNA, 3422 nt
Organism: Cavia porcellus (domestic guinea pig)
Lineage: Eukaryota; Metazoa; Chordata; Mammalia; Rodentia; Caviidae
Exons: 3
Source: RefSeq, a predicted model, not a curated record